AGAUUAAAAUCCACAAAAUAUUUUGUAACGACAUGAUCCGCUAGCAAUAAUAACUUGUUGGAUCAAAACUACUGGUCCAAAAUACUUAAGCCCAGUUAUUUUGUCCAGACAUCUCCCCAUUUAAGCCCAAGAUCACCUAAUGUGAGACUUGUCUCGCUAGUCUUUAUCAUUUGUCAUUUCGAUCCUAACAUAGUCUGUCAUUCACCGACCCUGACUCAGCCAAGACUCAUCAGAGACUGACCCGCUAGCAAUAAUAAUUUGUUGGGCCAAAAUCACCGGCCCAAAAUGCAUAACCCCGGUUAUUAUAUCUAGUCUAAUCAAACUUAUAUACCCCUACAUCCAGGCAUAACUAUCCUAUGUGGGAUUAUUGAGGUGUCACAUAUUUUAUGUU
Molecule: long non-coding RNA, 391 nt
Filed under: Ananas comosus (pineapple)
Lineage: Eukaryota; Viridiplantae; Streptophyta; Magnoliopsida; Poales; Bromeliaceae
Description: long non-coding RNA (ACOM_LNC028271)
Source: RNAcentral